UACAAAAUAAAUAAAAAAAAAUUCGUCAAUUGAACGUAUUUGGACUCAUAAAAGAUCCAGUCGGGAUUGUUUUAAAUAUUUUCUAGUCAUCUGAGCCUGACCUGCGGUGUGAUGGAGGGACAAAUUUAUGUCAAACAUUUCAUGUCAAACAUCCCGGUUUGUCAGGAUUUCACCAAUUUCUCAAAGAAAGCCUACCAAACACGCGCAAAUGAGAGAAAAUGCAAAUAAAAGAAGAAAGCAUCAGCCCUGCAUCACAGAGAUUUCUCCACAUCACGCCCCGCCUGCAAGUACAGAAGAAAGAGGGAGCGCAGCGUCUGGAGAGGCUUGACGCUUCGGCCGCAUAUGCUUCUCUUACCUUCUUACACAAAGAGAGGAAGAAAAAAAAGCCUCCAGGCCUCUCAGGUUCUUCUCCUGGUGCCUGGAGGGAGAAGUGAAACACGCGUCGAGGCGCCAUUCCUUCAUGAAGUUUAGAUCUUCAACAGCCAAAUGAAGACAGAUCCAUUCAGUCUGGCUUUUACUUCAAGUUUAUAGCUAUUCAUUAUCCCUUAUAGUUUAUUAUUUCAUUCUUAUUUUAGCUACUCCUAGAUUCUUUAUUUGUUUUUUAUUGUGACAUUGCUGUUUUUACUGUACUUAAUCUUGUUACUUAUGUGUACUAUGUAUGGUCUUAACUUUGCUGUUUUUAUAGAUUUUAUUUAUCUUAUCUCCUUCUAAAAUAUACAUGUACUUUAUCGUUCAUAUUUCUUGCAUUUCCACAGUUUCUGCUCCUCUAUAAUGUUAGUUGAUUUCUCUCUCUUUAAUUCUUAAUUGUUUUACUAUUAAUAAAUAUUGCUCUAUCUCAUCACGUGAUUUUUUCAUCAUUUUGAUCUUCAUAUUGUGGGUCUCUAGUCAUUAAAUGUCUGGGUUUUUUUUAAACCUGUAAAGAAUUUUGUUACACCUGACUGUAAGAAAUAUGUUUUUUAUAAAGUUUAAUUGAUUAACUGAUUACAAUUAAUUUGUUUUGUAUUGUAAAAUGAAUGUGAACCAUCCAAUAUUUUUUUUUAUCUCCAGUCAGACAGCAUUAACUACUAAACAGACCCAGAAAGAGAUGAAACAUUUUGCUCCAACUGUAUUAUUGAAUGCACUUUGUCACAAUAAAAUCAAUAAGCACCAACUU
Xiphophorus hellerii (green swordtail) is the source of this 1153-nucleotide long non-coding RNA. RefSeq lists it as uncharacterized. The transcript has 2 exons. NCBI's taxonomy places the organism in Eukaryota, Metazoa, Chordata, Actinopteri, Cyprinodontiformes, Poeciliidae. The record is from RefSeq and is a predicted model, not a curated record.